CAGACGUGCGUGAUGCAGUUCAGCUCUGGUUCGCCAGAGUGUAUUCUGUGUCUUUGCAGGCCAACAUCGGUUUCACGAGGCGGAUAAAGGCUUGAGAAAUGUGGCAGCUUCGGUUGUGUUAUAGUCUCUUGGUUGUAUACCGUGGUUGGGACUGAGGAUCUCAGGCCGCAAGGCUGUAGGAUGCUGGCAUAAUGGCUUUAAUCGACCCGUCUUGAAACACGGACCAAGGAGUCUAACAUGUAUGCGAGUGUU
Molecule: ribosomal RNA, 252 nt
Filed under: Dentiscutata heterogama
Lineage: Eukaryota; Fungi; Glomeromycota; Glomeromycetes; Diversisporales; Gigasporaceae
Source: RNAcentral